GUAAUAGGUGGGGCUGUCAAUCCCAGUUUGAAGUCCGAGAUUCAUUUAUGAGAAUUCGAGAUCCUAUAAAAUUUAAUUCGAUAUAUAUACCGGAUGUCGGAAUUGGAAUCCUUAACCGAAUUUCAGUCCUUAGCAUAACCGAAUCGGAUGAGGCCCAAUCCGUGUGGUUCAGUUCCAACAUCCCAUAAUACUAGGGAUAUACCACUAAGUUUGCAUCACCCAUGUAUUAGAUGUCGAGAAGAUUUUUUUAUUUAUGUUGAAGCAUUGUCGAGAAGAUUAACAGAAACAUCAUUAUUUUUUUAUUUUAUUUUUUGGUAUCUUUUCUACCUGUUCUCUGCUACUCUUCGACUGAUUAACACAAAUAUUAGUGAAACAAAUUAGGGCUCUUCUACCCUUCAUCUCCUCAUACAUUAACACAAAGCAGGAAAAUGUCUCUUAAAGCUUCCAAUCAAGUUGGAACCUCAAGGUCAAACACUCAAUCAAAUUCCUCACAAUCAAAAUUACAAGAAGAACAAAGUGUUUAGUGUUCAGCAAUUGCUUCAACUCCUGUGAGUAGGAAAUUACCAGAACCAGAUGGAAACAAUGAUCCCAUGUCUUCUUGGAAAAACUGGGGUGAAGCAGGUUGUCAUAAAAAGUACAUGCCAUCAUUGUAAAAAUGUAAUUGAAGCAGCAAGUGCAAAAGGAGCUAGCCGCUUGGCUGCUCAUCUAAAGAUCUGCCCCAAGAAAGAAGAGAGCCAGGACAGAUGAAGAUUUCUACUGCAAUGAAAACAGCAGGUAACUAAGCAACUAAAUUAGCUAAUUGGAAGUAUGAUCCUGAAGUUACUAGGUUAUGUGUUGUUAAAAUAAUUGCUAAGCAUGAUUACUCUCUUAACAUGGUUGAUCAUUUUUAUUUUAGAGAGUUUUGUAAGUCUUUGAACCCUGUUGCUAUGAUAAUGUCUAGGAAUACAACUAUAAUGAUUUGAUGAAGUUUUAUGCUGAAAAGAAGAAGAAUUGCAAGUAGAAUUGGAUAAUUUGAACUCUAAAUGUAGUCUUACAACUGAUAUGUAGACUGCUAAACAUGCUAAAGAUGGUUAUUGCUGUGUAACAUGCCACUAUAUAGAUGAUGAAUGGAAGUUGCAUAAGAAAACAUUAGCUUCCAUUAUAGUGCCAGCCAUCACCACAUAUAUGAGAUGUUCUCAUAGAAUUUAUCAAAACUUGCACUCUGGAAUGGCACAUGGAUAGGAAAUUGUUUGCUUUAACUACUGACAGUGCUCCUGCAAAUGGUGUUACGAUGAGAAAUCUGAUUGGUUGGCUACAUGGUAAGAGUUGUGUGGUUUUUAAUGGGAAAAUGUUCCACAUGAGGUGUAGCAACCACUACUUCAUUUAAUUGUAUUAUAUGGCAUGAAAGUAGUUGUUGAGUUUGUAGAAGAAAUUAGAGUGUGUUAAAUAUGUUAAGUCUUCAUAAGCUAGGAAAGAGAAGUUUGCAACAGCAUUGUCACAAUGUAGGUUGUCUGGAAAGUCUGUCGGUUUAGAUGUGGAUACUAGAUGGAACUCCAAUUUUUCAGUGCGUAUGAAUUUGAAAACACCACUGCAACUCCUGAUUAUUUUGCCAACUCUGUCUCUAGAUCUAUUAUGGAUGUAGGCAACUCAAGUAUAACUGACCUUGAGCAUGAUGAGUUUAUGAUUCAAAACAUUGAAUUUGAGGUUCAGAAGUCUGAGUUGGAGAAGUAUUUAGAAGAACCAUUGCUUAACAAAGGCUCACCCAAAGAUGAGUUUAACUUUGAUAUAUUGAGUUGGUGGAAGCUAAAUGCCCCUGAGUACCCAACUCUGUCUAAGAUUUCAAGAGAUGUGUUGGUUGUUCCAGUGACAAGUGUGGCAUCAUAAUCCACGUCCAAUGAUAGUGGUAGGGGUUCUUACAACACGUAGAACUUCAUUAGCUCCAGAAUGUGUCUAAGCAUUGCUUUGUGUAAGUAAUUGGUUGUCAGACUUCUUUUCUAGAGGUAACUUUUCUUUUCUUUUGCUCUAUCUUCAGUUCUUCAUAAUUUAUUUGUUCUUCUUCUAAGUUCUGACUCUGAUUUGAAUGUUGAUAUGGAAAUUACAUAACGAAGUUGAUGCAAUAUGCAAGCAGCCAAGCAGGAACUGGCAUUGUAUUUCUUUUGCAUCUGUUUGUGCUUUCUUUUCAUGUGUGAGAGUGAGAAUAAAGUAGUGUGGAUUUUAGAACAUGCUUGCAUGUGUUAGAAGACAUUUUAGAACUGAAUUCUACACUCCAGAGUCCAGAACUGAAUCCUAUACUUCUGUUUUUCAGUUUUUUUGUUUCUUGUCAGAUAGCGGAUUUUAUCGGAGUAAAAUCCGAUAUCCGGUUGCUUAUUGUAACGGAAUCGGAUUAACUUUUUGGAAUUCCGUUGGAUUUUAUCGGUUAUCCUUUGACAGCUCUAGUAGUAGGCGUUUGUGAAUCCAUCAGGUGUCAUUUUUUGUUAUUCAGUUAUGGCAGCUGUCAGUUGAAAGUUGCCAUAAUGUCUUAGCUGUGUCCUAAUGGCCUAUUUCCUUUUCUUGAUAUCAUGUUAUCUGGUCAUUGUAUAUAAGUGUCUUGUACUCAUUUGGUUUUGGUAAUGGGAAUCUUUCCAUUCGUUUGUACUACUUAACCACAAAUAACAAAAAAGGCUCGAGAAGGGUAAAUUUGUGUUCGCCAAAAGAUAGGAAGUGCCACUUGCAUAAAUCGAUACAGAAGUCUACGUACUACGUACUACACAACUUGAACUUCGAUAAGCCAAGUGAUCGAUAAAGGUUUUUCAACUUGGUUGUCGCAUCAAUAAGUAGCUGUAAGUAAACUAUCCAAGAUGUUAUUGCGUUAUCACCAUGGGGACAUUGUGUAAAUUGCAGAUUAGUUCACCUUGUUAAUGGAUGCUGAGAUAAUUCAAAUUGUCUUAUUAUCAUCUUUAA
This is a long non-coding RNA of Papaver somniferum (opium poppy), 2919 nucleotides long. RefSeq lists it as uncharacterized. The record is from RefSeq and is a predicted model, not a curated record. Lineage: Eukaryota; Viridiplantae; Streptophyta; Magnoliopsida; Ranunculales; Papaveraceae. The transcript is spliced from 2 exons.